UACGUAGGGUGCAAGCGUUGUCCGGAAUUAUUGGGCGUAAAGAGCUCGUAGGCGGUCUGUCGCGUCUGCUGUGAAAACUCGGGGCUUAACCCCGGGCCUGCAGUGGGUACGGGCAGACUAGAGUGCGGUAGGGGAGACUGGAAUUCCUGGUGUAGCGGUGAAAUGCGCAGAUAUCAGGAGGAACACCGGUGGCGGAGGCGGGUCUCUGGGCCGUAACUGACGCUGAGGAGCGAAAGCAUGGGGAGCGAACAGG
Molecule: ribosomal RNA, 253 nt
Filed under: uncultured bacterium
Lineage: Bacteria
Description: partial 16S ribosomal RNA
Rfam family: Bacterial small subunit ribosomal RNA
Source: RNAcentral